AACAUAAGAUUGGGGCAUUUUUGCAUCAAAUCUUGGAAACGAUCCCACGCCUAAGCGAAACUCUCCCCAUUAACUUUCCGAAAUUGCAAAAUAUCAUUACGAAGCUU
Molecule: small nucleolar RNA, 107 nt
Organism: Diospyros lotus (date-plum)
Lineage: Eukaryota; Viridiplantae; Streptophyta; Magnoliopsida; Ericales; Ebenaceae
Source: RefSeq, a predicted model, not a curated record